CCAUUGGAGUCUAAAAGGCCGCGGUAUUAUGACCGUGCUAAGGUAGCAUAAUCAUUAGUCUUUUAAUUGAAGGCUGGAAUGAAUGGUUGGACAAGAAAUAAGCUGUCUUAAAUAAAAAUAUUGAACUUAACUUUUAAGUGAAAAGGCUUAAAUUUUCUAAAGGGACGAUAAGACCCUAUAAAACUUUAUAUUUAAAAAUAAUUGCUAUUAUUAUUUAAAGAGUUUAUUUUUAAAUAUUUUAUUGGGGUGAUAAGGAUAAAAUAUAAGACAACUGUCUUUUAUUUUAACAAUAAUUUUUGAGUAAAUGAUCUUAAUAAAGGAAUAAAAGAUUAAGUUACUUUAGGGAUAACAGCGUAAUUUUCUUUGAGAGUUCUUAUC
This 378-nucleotide ribosomal RNA is filed under the name Astacus astacus (noble crayfish). RNAcentral describes it as "partial 16S ribosomal RNA". The stretch from base 1 to 151 matches the Rfam family "Archaeal large subunit ribosomal RNA", at positions 1955 to 2143 of the family's 2987-position model. Lineage: Eukaryota; Metazoa; Arthropoda; Malacostraca; Decapoda; Astacidae. The record is from RNAcentral.